UAGAAGUCAGGUCGGAUUAAGCCAUAGUACGGAAAAAACUAUGCUACCUGUGAGCCCCGUCCAAGGACGUUAAAAGAAGUCAGGCCAUCAUAAAUGCCAUAGCUUGAGUAAACUGUGCUGCCUGUAGCUCCACCUGAGAAGGUGUAAAAAAUCUGGGAGGCCACAAACCAUGGAAGCUGUACGCAUGGCGUAGUGGACUAGCGGUUAGAGGAGACCCCUCCCUUACAAAUCGCAGCAACAAUGGGGGCCCAAGGCGAGAUGAAGCUGUAAUCUCGCUGGAAGGACUAGAGGUUAGAGGAGACCCCCCCGAAACAAAAAACAGCAUAUGACGC
Molecule: long non-coding RNA, 332 nt
Filed under: dengue virus type 2
Lineage: Riboviria; Orthornavirae; Kitrinoviricota; Flasuviricetes; Amarillovirales; Flaviviridae
Description: Dengue virus 2 partial sfRNA1
Rfam family: Flavivirus DB element (bases 243-314)
Source: RNAcentral